Molecule: transfer RNA, 69 nt
Filed under: human gut metagenome
Also listed under: 2 other names
Rfam family: tRNA
About the family: Transfer RNA (tRNA) molecules are approximately 80 nucleotides in length.
Source: RNAcentral
AGGUGUAGCGCAGUUUGGUAGCGCGCUUGGUUCGGGACCAAGAGGCCGUGGGUUCAAGUCCCGUCACCU